AUUGAACGCUGGCGGCAGGCCUAACACAUGCAAGUCGAGCGGAUGAAGGGAGCUUGCUCCUGGAGUCAGCGGCGGACGGGUGAGUAAUGCCUAGGAAUCUGCCUGGUAGUGGGGGAUAACGUCCGGAGACGGGCGCUAAUACCGCAUACGUCCUGAGGGUGAAAGUGGGGGGUCUUCGGACCUCACGCUAUCAGAUGAGCCUAGGUGGGAUUAGCUAGUUGGUGGGGUAAGGGCCUACCAAGCCGACGAUCCGUAACUGGUCUGCGAGGCUGAUCAGUCACAUGGGAGCGGAGACACGGUCCAGGCUCCUACGGGAGGCAGCAGUGGGGAAUAUUGGACAAUGGGCGAAAGUCUGACCCAGCCAGGCCGCGUGUGUGAAGAAGGUCUUCGGAGUGUAAAGCACUUUAAGUUGGGAGGAAGGGCAGUAAGUUAAUACCUUGCUGUUUUGACGUUACCAACAGAAGAAGCACCGGCUAACUUCGUG
RNAcentral lists this ribosomal RNA (484 nucleotides) under uncultured bacterium. Its description in RNAcentral is "partial 16S ribosomal RNA". It matches the Rfam family "Bacterial small subunit ribosomal RNA", at positions 30 to 507 of the family's 1533-position model. The record is from RNAcentral.